Molecule: ribosomal RNA, 153 nt
Filed under: Columba livia (rock pigeon)
Lineage: Eukaryota; Metazoa; Chordata; Aves; Columbiformes; Columbidae
Description: 5.8S ribosomal RNA
Rfam family: 5.8S ribosomal RNA
About the family: 5.8S ribosomal RNA (5.8S rRNA) is a component of the large subunit of the eukaryotic ribosome. It is transcribed by RNA polymerase I as part of the 45S precursor that also contains 18S and 28S rRNA. Functionally, it is thought that 5.8S rRNA may be involved in ribosome translocation.
Source: Rfam by way of RNAcentral
AGCUCUUAGCGGUGGAUCACACGGCUCAUGCGUUGAUGAAGAACACAGCUAGCUGCGAGAAUUGAUGUGAAUUGCAGGACACAUUGAUCAUCGACACUUGAAACACGCUUGCGGCUCCGGGUUCCUCCCAGGGCUAUGCCUGACUGAGCAUCA